AACGUCUACACUGCUUCAACAUGAGAGAAGAGUCUCGCCCUCAGCUAUAACAGCCUCGUCCCUAUUUAUGUCCAUGUGUUACUGUAGAUGUGGAAAAAACAGAGCCGCUUCACACUUUGACUUCACGCUUUUAUUUGUAAAAUUUCCUCCGUGCAACACAUGGCUGAAUUCAGUGAAACGAAGUUUUAAUGCCAAUGGAGUGCCUUUCGUCACCAAAACUUUUGUAAAGAGAAUUUACAUUCCCUUACCUGAAGCCCCUGCAAGAACAGAAGUAUUAAAUUCAUUUUGGAAAUACCUUUGAUGCUCUGAUGCAGCCUGUAAGGAAACUCGUGACUGCCACACACCUACAUACCUUAGACGAGUGCCAGGUCUAGCCCGAGACGACCCAAAUGUAAAAGUGAAUGACCUUUUGACCCCUUGUUGUCCUGGAUCCCCCGGGGCCUUAGAGAUGAUCUUGGCAGAUGUCGAUGAAAAAACAUUUCUGGAACCUUUGAUAUUUAUGUCUGAUAUUUUGAAGUCAUGAACGACGUCUAAACCUACAGUGACUAAAGCAGAAUUAAAGAAAUUUGAAGAAUUCUGUGAUUAUGGGAAAAGAGAUCCAAGAUAAAGCCUAGUGUUUUCGAUUCCUUUGGUGCAAAAAAGCUAAAUGGCAACAGGAGACUAAUCUGAUCUACAAUACUGGACUGUCUGUACACAAAAUAUCUUAUUUAGUGUAGAGAGCUGAAUUGCUUAUGACUUGGAUAUUUUUUAUAGACCCCAUAAUACCAUGUUUGUCAUUGAGCUGGACUAAUAAUGCUGUGACAAAAAAGAAUACAUGAAAUACAUGUGAUAUUUUGAAUAUUCUUGUUUAAAAUUUUCAUUCUUACUUCUGAGAGUCUUCUUCAUUUGAUCCUAUCCAUUCUGUUGAUCAUGAAUGGCUCAUAUUGCUUUUGUUUGACUGUACAUAGAACAUAGGAAUCACAGUUUUAAAGGAUUGGUGCAGAAGCUGUAUGUUGCAUUACAAGCCUAAUGGUAUAUGAAUGUUCCCUUUUACAUUUACCACUAUAAGUAUGGUAUUGUGCUGAAAUGAUGUAAUAAACAU
This is a long non-coding RNA of Magallana angulata, 1081 nucleotides long. RefSeq lists it as uncharacterized. The record is from RefSeq and is a predicted model, not a curated record. The transcript is spliced from 4 exons. NCBI's taxonomy places the organism in Eukaryota, Metazoa, Mollusca, Bivalvia, Ostreida, Ostreidae.